UACGUAGGGUCCAAGCGUUGUCCGGAAUUAUUGGGCGUAAAGAGCUCGUAGGCGGUCCCUUAAGUCGGUUGUGAAAGCUCAGGGCUCAACCCUGAAAGUGCGGCCGAAACUGGGGGACUUGAGGCAGGUAGGGGAAGGUGGAAUUCCUGGUGUAGCGGUGAAAUGCGCAGAUAUCAGGAGGAACACCAGUGGCGAAGGCGGCCUUCUGGGCCUGUUCUGACGCUGAGGAGCGAAAGCGUGGGGAGCGAACAGGAUUAGAAACCCGCGUAGUCC
RNAcentral lists this ribosomal RNA (273 nucleotides) under uncultured bacterium. Its description in RNAcentral is "partial 16S ribosomal RNA". It matches the Rfam family "Bacterial small subunit ribosomal RNA", at positions 524 to 796 of the family's 1533-position model. The record is from RNAcentral.